This 520-nucleotide unclassified non-coding RNA is filed under the name uncultured Glomus. RNAcentral's name for it is "SSU rRNA". It matches the Rfam family "Eukaryotic small subunit ribosomal RNA", at positions 569 to 1091 of the family's 1831-position model. The record is from RNAcentral. Lineage: Eukaryota; Fungi; Glomeromycota; Glomeromycetes; Glomerales; Glomeraceae.
AGCAGCCGCGGUAAUUCCAGCUCCAAUAGCGUAUAUUAAAGUUGUUGCAGUUAAAAAGCUCGUAGUUGAAUUUCGGGAUCAAUUAAUUGGUCGUGCCUCUGGUACGUACUGGUUUUAUUGGUUUCUCCCUUCUGACGAACCAUGAUGUCAUUAAUUUGGUGUCGUGGAGAAUCAGGACUGUUACUUUGAAAAAAUUAGAGUGUUUAAAGCAAGCUAACGCUUGAAUACAUUAGCAUGGAAUAAUGAAAUAGGACGUUUGAUCCUAUUUUGUUGGUUUCUAGGAUCGACGUAAUGAUUAAUAGGGAUAGUUGGGGGCAUUAGUAUUCAAUUGUCAGAGGUGAAAUUCUUGGAUUUAUUGAAGACUAACUACUGCGAAAGCAUUUGCCAAGGAUGUUUUCAUUAAUCAAGAACGAAAGUUAGGGAUCGAAGACGAUCAGAUACCGUCGUAGUCUUAACCAUAAACUAUGCCGACUAGGGAUCGGAUGAUGUUAAUUUUUUAAUGACUCAUUCGGCGCCUUAC